Molecule: non-coding RNA, 2898 nt
Organism: Paramuricea clavata
Lineage: Eukaryota; Metazoa; Cnidaria; Anthozoa; Malacalcyonacea; Plexauridae
Source: the annotation of a GenBank genome assembly
GGGGGGUCUUUUCCAGGGGCGGACACUAGGGGGGGGGGGGGCUAAUAAUUUUGAAAGACUGCAGAAAUCUUGUACUAAAUAACACAAAUCACACUCAUACAACGCAAUUGUCAUCAUAAUAUAAUAGCAUAUGUUUCUGUACAUGGCUACAAAACCCUAGUUUUUUACAAAAUAUGUUCUCAGAACGCUGCAAAUGCCAUUUCCGGGAUUCAAAUUAAAAAUUUUUUCGGCACGAGCCCCCCUCCCCCGAAUAUUUCGUAAAGUGUCCGCCAAUGGUCUUUUCAUUAAAAUUCUCAAAAGUUAAAUGUCAGUAUAUGCUGUUUCUUCUGAAAUCUACAGAUUUUUUAAGCACUUCAUGCAGCAACGAUCAAAAAUACAUCAUGUUGAAUGUUUUCUUUAUGGCAUUAUGCUAACAAUCAAAUGUUUUCAAUUUUUAGUGCUUAGAAACAAGGUUAUAAAAACUGAAAAACAGAAAAAAGGAGGAAAAAACACUUUUUGCAACUGUGUGAUCAGGCCUUGUGGUAAAAAUACCAAUUUAAGGAAUUUUAAGGAAAUCUGAGGAAUCUUCGAGCUUUUUCUGAGGAAUUCGAAAAUUUGAUUGUGAGAGCACUGGUAUGCACCUCGCGUUCACUUCCGGGUUUUAAUCUGGGACGGCUUGUUUGUCUUUUUCGAAGCAAAUUUUUGUUUUCUUGUUACCUGUCCAUUCCUGUAUUGUUUUCAAUCAGUUGUCAAGAUAUGUGCAAGAAAAGGCUAUAUAAUACUGGGCAAGUGUUUCCUGAUGAAUUAGUAUGGACAUUCAAUAAGUUUUUUGUAGAAAAAAAGUUAUUUUUUUGUAUUUUGAAAAGUGAACUUUGUUGCAUCAUUUGGAAUAAAUACAACAGCUGCAGGCUCGGCUGCAGGUAUUGUUUACGAGCUAAUUGUAGCCUAUUCAAUCACGUUUGUCAACUGUUCAGUAUAAAUAUAGCAUCAGUGUUUAUAUUGGUAAAAUUUAAUACUGUUUACGAUAGUUUUUCACGCUGGAAAGCGUUUUUUUGCUUGUCCUACUUUUUGCACUGUUGUGACAGAGCAACUAAAAUUGAUUGAGUUUUUACUGCUUUUAAGUGCUUUUAUUUUUCUAUUUUCCCACGUUUUCCUGAUUUUAAACAGUUGUUGAUAUAACUUCAGUUUAGUUUGUUCUAAAAUAUUUGUUUUGGUGAAGAUUACUAGCGGUAUUGAAGUGAUUAUUAACAAUGCUUGCAGUUUUGUUGAUUUGUUUAUGGCGACCGAAAGUAUUUGUCGAAAAUCAACUCGUCUAAAAUUUUAGCGAAAUACAAGAAAAACAACCUUGUCAAUGGAAAAACUUUAGCUAGUAUCAUUAAACAAUACAUGGGGAACAAAAUAGGAUGAUUUUUAUUAUGCACAGUCUCAUAUUUUUUUCAAAGGAAGCAAAAAUCUGCGACGUUCUAGAGAGGACGUGAAAAUUGUAUUUUCGCGUCGUGAAAUCGUCCAAGACGACGUCGUAAACCAGAAGCUGACGAUAGUUGGCGCCAAAUGACGACAUCCACGUUCUCUUGACGUCCGCGUCUUGUUAUCUAAAACCGUCUAAUAUGAAAAGUUACACUGCGUUCAUAUGAGACGAAAAGUGUACCGAGAUCUCGCUUGUUGACAGGCGAGAUCUCGUUGACCAGGAUAAUGUUUUUUUCCCAUAUGAACACAACAUGCCACAACUUUCCCGCUUAGCGGGAAAACUUUCCGUCCUGUGAGCAACUUUUCUGUUUUUAAAAUGUAUUUUAUUGUGAUUUUUUUUAACUUUUCCCGCCUUCCGCGUCACACCAGUGCUACGUCACAGCCGGAAACUUUACCCGGUAAGCGGGACAACAUUUCUCCAUAUGAACAGAGCAAAAUUAUUUGGCUAGUCAAAAUGUUUUAUCGCUAAUCGGGAUAACUUUUCCCCAUAUGAACCCUAAAUGGCCCUAAAUGUUCUUAGGUUAAAUUGAUUAUAGUCCUGGGGGCGGUUGUACCAAGGUCGUUAACUUAGUCGUUGAUUGGUAUACUGUAACUCAGAUUAAAGUUCAGUAUUUAUAAGUUAAGGUUUCUUAUGUACUACAUACUAGUAGUAUGUGGUUUAUACCUAUAGUUUUACAGCCAUUUAGGUAUUUUUACAAAGGUUGAAGAAAUCACCAUCCGGGGUCGGGGGAGAUACCAUGCUAUCCGGCCUUCGUACAACCAACACCUGCCUAAUUUAACCAGGAUUCAAGAAUUCCUGCCAAUACAUAUCCUAGGGCGCUUUCCUUUAACACGGCCAAACCGGUCAGAACGGUCAAAUUGUUGAAUGAUAGACAAAACAUUUGGACUUCGGAUCCCUAUCUGACAGGAAAAUUUUGAUAACAUUAGAAUGAGGUCCAUUUUCGCUAGAUAUUUGAGAAACAUAGACCAGAUCUUUCCAUUGAUACAGAGAAAAGAAUUCGGGUCUGACCGGUCAGACCAGUAAAUGGAAGCGCCCCUAGUGUUGCAACUUGUUGGAACAGCACUGCUGCAAGUCUGCUGCAGGUUUGUUACAACUUGUACACUUUAUCGUGUGUACAAAAAGGUCGUAAAUUUGAGUGAUUUUACUCAAAUUUUGAGUCAAUGUGCAUGGGUGUAUUAUAUUGCCCAAGUUGUUGAGUCAAAACACUCGACAGGGAUAUAUUGCAGUGUAUGGGAAAGCUAGGAAACAAUGUUGCCCCAACAGAAAGCAUGCACAUGUUUACUUUAGAAAUAAAAUAUUAAACAUUUGUGUUAUCGAACAGUCCAUCUUUACAGCAGGAAAUCAAAUGUAUAUUGUUAGAAAUAAACACAGCACAAAGAAACAUAAAUGUUUUCGGGGUAAUUUUAUUUUCUAUACAUUACGCCAAACGUUGCUUGGUACGAUUAUAUAAC